This 497-nucleotide ribosomal RNA is filed under the name uncultured bacterium. RNAcentral's name for it is "partial 16S ribosomal RNA". It matches the Rfam family "Bacterial small subunit ribosomal RNA", at positions 28 to 507 of the family's 1533-position model. The record is from RNAcentral.
GACGAACGCUGGCGGCGUGCCUAAUACAUGCAAGUAGAACGCUGAAGAGAGGAGCUUGCUCUUCUUGGAUGAGUUGCGAACGGGUGAGUAACGCGUAGGUAACCUGCCUUGUAGCGGGGGAUAACUAUUGGAAACGAUAGCUAAUACCGCAUAACAAUGGAUGACACAUGUCAUUUAUUUGAAAGGGGCAAUUGCUCCACUACAAGAUGGACCUGCGUUGUAUUAGCUAGUAGGUGAGGUAAUGGCUCACCUAGGCGACGAUACAUAGCCGACCUGAGAGGGUGAUCGGCCACACUGGGACUGAGACACGGCCCAGACUCCUACGGGAGGCAGCAGUAGGGAAUCUUCGGCAAUGGGGGCAACCCUGACCGAGCAACGCCGCGUGAGUGAAGAAGGGUUUCGGAUCGUAAAGCUCUGUUGUAAGUCAAGAACGGGUGUGAGAGUGGAAAGUUCACACUGUGACGGUAGCUGACCAGAAAGGGACGGCUAACUACGUG